CGGCGGACGGGUGAGUAACGCGUGGGUAACCUGCCUCAUACAGGGGGAUAACAGUUGGAAACGGCUGCUAAUACCGCAUAAGCGCACAGUACCGCAUGGUACCGUGUGAAAAACUCCGGUGGUAUGAGAUGGACCCGCGUCUGAUUAGCUAGUUGGUGGGGUAACGGCCUACCAAGGCGACGAUCAGUAGCCGACCUGAGAGGGUGACCGGCCACAUUGGGACUGAGACACAGCCCAA
Molecule: ribosomal RNA, 238 nt
Filed under: uncultured bacterium
Lineage: Bacteria
Description: partial 16S ribosomal RNA
Rfam family: Bacterial small subunit ribosomal RNA
Source: RNAcentral